RNAcentral lists this transfer RNA (71 nucleotides) under Phrynosoma platyrhinos (Desert horned lizard). Its description in RNAcentral is "tRNA-OTHER". Lineage: Eukaryota; Metazoa; Chordata; Lepidosauria; Squamata; Phrynosomatidae. The record is from RNAcentral.
GCCAGCAUGCUGUAGUGGUUUGAGCAUUAGACUAUGACUCUGGAGACCAGGGUUCAAAUCCCAUUUGGGCC